UGUGAAAUUUACUCCGCGGUAC
RNAcentral lists this non-coding RNA (22 nucleotides) under Arabidopsis thaliana (thale cress). The record is from RNAcentral. Lineage: Eukaryota; Viridiplantae; Streptophyta; Magnoliopsida; Brassicales; Brassicaceae.